AAGUCGUAACAAGGUUUCCGUAGGUGAACCUGCGGAAGGAUCAUUAUCCAACCAAAACCAGCUGCGGUCGCGGCCCCCCGAGGAUCUUACCUUGGGGUGGUAGGGGUAACACCCUCACGCGCCGCACGUCUGCAUCCUUUCUUUACGAGCACCUCCGUUCUCCUUCGGCGGGGCAACCUGCCGUUGGAACCAACAAAACCUUUUUUUGCAUCUAGCAUUACCUGUUCUGAUACAAACAAUCGUUACAACUUUCAACAAUGGAUCUCUUGGCUCUG
Molecule: unclassified non-coding RNA, 275 nt
Filed under: fungal sp.
Lineage: Eukaryota; Fungi
Description: partial internal transcribed spacer region
Rfam family: Eukaryotic small subunit ribosomal RNA (bases 1-46)
Source: RNAcentral